AGUGUAAUUUCAGGACCAAAAUUAUGUACUAAAAAUUGUAACUCCUUCUUUUUUUUUUCAUUAUAAUUUAAGUUCUGGGGUACAUGUGCAGAACGUGCAGGUUUUUUACAUAGGUAGACACGUGCCAUGGUGGUUUGCUGCACCCAUCAACCCGUCAUCUACAUUAGGUAUUUCUCCUAAUGCUGUCCCUCCUCUACCCACAUCCCCACCUACAGGCCCCAGUGUGUGACGGGUGUUCCUCUCCCUGUGUCCAUAUGUUCUCAUUGUUCAGCUCCCACUUAUGAGUGAGAACAUGCGGUGUUUGGUUUUCUGUUCUUGUGGCUCUAUACCUCUGAAUAACAUAUGUCUUUUGGCUCAUUUCAGGUGACAGUGUGCUGAGAAUUAGGGAGGACUGAGAAGACACAUUCAUCAGAUUAUUAGGUUGAUGCCAAAGUAACUGUGGUUUUUGCCAUUACUUUAGCACCAACCUAAUACCAUCACCUGAUGGUCUUUCAACAGUGGCCAGAAUCACCUCAUUGCUGAUCCCUCCUAUUCCGAGUGAACCUGCAUGAAGAUAAAACACUAUGGACCUAUAAAAAAAAUCAUGCUACCUGUAAUUAAAAACAGAAAAACAAAAUUGGCUCUCACUACUGUUCCAUGCUCAUUAGUGCUAGAUGCUAAAUAAAAUGUGUUCAGCACACGAGGACCAGUAUUCUGUCUGCAGCAAAGAGUGAGCAUUUUAUUUUUUUGUCUUUGGACCUUAUAAGAACAACAAAAAAAAAUUAUUUAGAAAAGUCAAGCUACUCUAGAGAAUUACUCAAGUAGUUUA
Molecule: long non-coding RNA, 808 nt
Filed under: Macaca mulatta (Rhesus monkey)
Lineage: Eukaryota; Metazoa; Chordata; Mammalia; Primates; Cercopithecidae
Description: lncRNA (ENSMMUG00000063544.1)
Source: RNAcentral